AUACGGAGGGUGCAAGCGUUAAUCGGAAUUACUGGGCGUAAAGCGUACGUAGGCGGUUAUUUAAGUCAGAUGUGAAAGCCCCGGGCUUAACUUGGGAACUGCAUUUGAAACUGGGUAACUAGAGUUUAGUAGAGGGGAGUGGAAUUUCAGGUGUAGCGGUGAAAUACGUAGAGAUCUGAAGGAACACCGGUGGCGAAGGCGGCUUCCUGGACAAUUACUGACGCUGAGACGCGAAAGCGUGGGGAGCAAACAGGAUUAGAAACCCCGGUAGUCC
RNAcentral lists this ribosomal RNA (274 nucleotides) under uncultured bacterium. RNAcentral describes it as "partial 16S ribosomal RNA". It matches the Rfam family "Bacterial small subunit ribosomal RNA", at positions 523 to 796 of the family's 1533-position model. The record is from RNAcentral.